AGUGAACGCUGGCGGUAGGCCUAACACAUGCAAGUCGAACGGCAGCACAGUAAGAGCUUGCUCUUACGGGUGGCGAGUGGCGGACGGGUGAGGAAUACAUCGGAAUCUACUUUUUCGUGGGGGAUAACGUAGGGAAACUUACGCUAAUACCGCAUACGACCUACGGGUGAAAGCAGGGGAUCUUCGGACCUUGCGCGAUUGAAUGAGCCGAUGUCGGAUUAGCUAGUUGGCGGGGUAAAGGCCCACCAAGGCGACGAUCCGUAGCUGGUCCGAGAGGAUGAUCAGCCACACUGGAACUGAGACACGGUCCAGACUCCUACGGGAGGCAGCAGUGGGGAAUAUUGGACAAUGGGCGCAAGCCUGAUCCAGCCAUACCGCGUGGGUGAAGAAGGCCUUCGGGUUGUAAAGCCCUUUUGUUGGGAAAGAAAAGCAGCAGGUUGAUACCCCGCUGUUCUGACGGUACCCAAAGAAUAAGCACCGGCUAACUUCGUG
RNAcentral lists this ribosomal RNA (492 nucleotides) under uncultured bacterium. RNAcentral's name for it is "partial 16S ribosomal RNA". It matches the Rfam family "Bacterial small subunit ribosomal RNA", at positions 29 to 507 of the family's 1533-position model. The record is from RNAcentral.